Molecule: long non-coding RNA, 636 nt
Organism: Halichondria panicea
Lineage: Eukaryota; Metazoa; Porifera; Demospongiae; Suberitida; Halichondriidae
Exons: 4
Source: RefSeq, a predicted model, not a curated record
UUGUACAUGCAUGCAACUUCAUAAUGUAUGGUCACUUAGUAUAUAAGGAGAUUAUUUAAGGGCACUUACACUACCGUAUAUAUUGUCUAGUACAUCACUCAAGACAACCUGAUCAAAGAAUCAAUCAAUCUUACUCCAACUGUCAAGCCCAAGUCAAAACAGGAAUGAAGACUGCAUUCUUUCUCCUCCUAGCCUGUGUUGUGGUGGCCUACAGUCAAUUUCCUGAACCUACAGUGGAGCAAGCACGGUGCUUGGUAGAUGGAACAAGAAACAACUCUACCUUACAACAAUGUCAAACAAUGAUUUUAUCUAUGAUGGGUGACCGGGAAAUUUGUAGCCUCUCGUGCAUCGGCGAUUAUUCGAUGUUGAUCGAUGACUGUCAAAUCACACCAAACCCAGUGACAGCUACUUGCAGUGAUGCUGCAUCUACAGUUGCUGUCCCAAUGAUGGUGAUUAUUGGAAUAGUCGUGGCUACGGCCUCACUGUUUUAAGCACCAAGGAGACUAUAACUAUACUUAGAUUAAGAUUCUGAGUAAGCUAGUGCAUGUUAUGGCAACUUUAUGUACAAUGUCAAGUAUAAUACAUUAGGAUGAAUUAUUGGUUAUUAAUGUUGCGAUUUGAAUAAUGAAUGCCAAA